CCCUCCCUUGUGGCUGCACAAUAGAGAUCACCCCUAUUCGCCAAGCUCCAGUUCUCCCGGGUCAUGCUGCUCCAGUAGAGGCAUCAGCAUCCCUGGUGGCGAUCCUGGAGCCUUCUCAAUGGCUGGAGAUAUCACUCUCAUGGCAAGCCCUCUUAUGCAUGGGAUACAACAACACCCACAAGUGACCAUUAUAGCACCACAUGAAGCAAGCGAUAAAAGAACAGACAUUAUCAAACCUUUCCACUGGCCGAACAUCGAGGUGUCCUCAGGUGGGGUCGCGAACCUCUUCGCUGGGGGAAUGAAGACCCGAUGCCAACCUGGGAAACCUGUAACAACAUACAACACACAUCAUUAUUGUCCAUGUCCAUGUACCACUUAAUUCUAUUAUCAUUUCCCCAGACCUUUCUCUGUAACCCUGUCAUCUUGGUAUGAGUGGUAGCCACUCGGUGUCCUAUACCCCCUUUUGUUACAGUAUUCUUCAGUUCCUUCCCCUAAGAGUCUAUUCCCCUGACGCCGUGCUUUGUCUCCUUCACUCGCUCGUAGUCCCGCCGUGUCCUGGGGUCCGCUCCUGGCACCGG
Molecule: long non-coding RNA, 578 nt
Organism: Esox lucius (northern pike)
Lineage: Eukaryota; Metazoa; Chordata; Actinopteri; Esociformes; Esocidae
Source: Ensembl